This 60-nucleotide unclassified non-coding RNA is filed under the name synthetic construct. The record is from RNAcentral.
UUAUCGAUGAUCACGGAAGGGGUUAGCUAGUUACAGGAGGAUUAGUGCGUGUCAAAAAUU